AUUGAACGCUGGCGGAAUGCUUUACACAUGCAAGUCGAGCGGCAGCGCGGGGGCAACCCUGGCGGCGAGCGGCGAACGGGUGAGUAGUACAUCGGAACGUGUCCUUAAGUGGGGGAUAGCUCGGCGAAAGCCGGAUUAAUACCGCAUAAGCUCUGAGGAGGAAAGCGGGGGCUCCGUAAGGACCUCGCGCUGUUGGAGCGGCCGAUGUCGGAUUAGCUAGUUGGUGGGGUAAAGGCCCACCAAGGCGACGAUCCGUAGCUGGUCUGAGAGGAUGAUCAGCCACACUGGAACUGAGACACGGUCCAGACUCCUACGGGAGGCAGCAGUGGGGAAUUUUGGACAAUGGGGGCAACCCUGAUCCAGCCAUUCCGCGUGAGUGAAGAAGGCCU
RNAcentral lists this ribosomal RNA (389 nucleotides) under uncultured bacterium. RNAcentral describes it as "bacterial SSU rRNA". It matches the Rfam family "Bacterial small subunit ribosomal RNA", at positions 29 to 417 of the family's 1533-position model. The record is from RNAcentral.